GUGCUCAAUUCAGAAGUACAUAUACUAAAAUUGGAACAAUAUAGAGAUUAGCGUGGCCCUUUUGCAAGAAUGACAUACAAAUUCAUGAAGGGCUCCAUAUAUUU
Dipodomys ordii (Ord's kangaroo rat) is the source of this 104-nucleotide small nuclear RNA. The record is from Ensembl. Lineage: Eukaryota; Metazoa; Chordata; Mammalia; Rodentia; Heteromyidae.